This 477-nucleotide ribosomal RNA is filed under the name uncultured Planctomycetota bacterium. RNAcentral's name for it is "bacterial SSU rRNA". It matches the Rfam family "Bacterial small subunit ribosomal RNA", at positions 365 to 832 of the family's 1533-position model. The record is from RNAcentral. Lineage: Bacteria; Pseudomonadati; Planctomycetota.
UUCGCAAUGCCCGAAAGGGUGACGAAGCGACGCCGCGUGUGGGAAGAAGGCCUUCGGGUUGUAAACCACUGUCGGGAGUUAAGAAAUGUAAGGGUGUUAAUAGCAUCCUUACUUGACGUUAGCUCCGGAGGAAGCCACGGCUAACUCUGUGCCAGCAGCCGCGGUAAUACAGAGGUGGCAAGCGUUGUUCGGAAUUAUUGGGCGUAAAGAGCACGUAGGCGGCCCUGCAAGUCAGCUGUGAAAGCCUUCUGCUUAACGGAAGAACAGCAGCUGAUACUACAGAGCUUGAGUACGGGAGGGGAGAGUGGAACUUCUGGUGGAGCGGUGAAAUGCGUAGAUAUCAGAAGGAACGCCGGCGGCGAAAGCGAUUCUCUGGUCCGAAACUGACGCUGAGUGUGCGAAAGCUAGGGGAUCAAACGGGAUUAGAUACCCCGGUAGUCCUAGCCGUAAACGAUGGGCACUAAGUAGAGGGGUUUU